GGCCACUGCUAUUGGGAUCCGACUAAGCCAUGCGAGUCGAGAGGGUUCGGCCCUCGGCAGACUGCUCAGUAACACGUGGAUAAUCUACCCUUAGGUGGAGGAUACUCUCGGGAAACUGAGAAUACUACUCCAUAGGUCUAGGAUGCUGGAAUGCACCUAGGUUGAAAGUUCCGGCGCCUAAGGACGAGUCUGCGGACUAUCGGGUAGUAGUCAGGGUAAAGACCUGACUAGCCUACGACGGAUACGGGUUGUGAGAGCAAUAGCCCGGAGACGAUAUCUGAGACACGAUAUCGGGCCCUACGGGGCGCAGCAGGCGCGAAAUCUUCACAAUGUGCGAAAGCACGAUGAGGGGAUCCCAAGUGUUGGUUCGUAAGAGUCAUCUGUUUCUUUGUCUAAAAAACAGAGAGAGUAAGAGCUGGGUAAGACGGGUGCCAGCCGCCGCGGUAAUACCUGCAGCUCAAGUGGUGGCCGCUAUUAUUGGGCCUAAAACGUCCGUAGCCGGUUUAGUAAAUGCCUGGGUAAAUUGUGUAGCUCAACUAUACGAAUACCGGGUAGACUGCUAAACUUGAAACCGGGAGAGGCUAGAGGUACUCCUAGGGUAGAGGUGAAAUUCUGUAAUCCUAGGGGGACCACCAGUGGCGAAGGCGUCUAGCUAGAACGGGUUUGACGGUGAGGGACGAAGCCCUGGGGCGCAAACCGGAUUAGAUACCCGGGUAGUCCAGGGUGUAAACGCUGCUCGCUUGAUGUUAGUCGGGCUCCGAGCCCAACUAGUGUCGGAGAGAAGUUGUUAAGCGAGCUGCCUGGGAAGUACGGUCGCAAGGCUGAAACUUAA
This 832-nucleotide ribosomal RNA is filed under the name uncultured archaeon. Its description in RNAcentral is "bacterial SSU rRNA". It matches the Rfam family "Archaeal small subunit ribosomal RNA", at positions 22 to 859 of the family's 1478-position model. The record is from RNAcentral.